This 164-nucleotide ribosomal RNA is filed under the name Triticum turgidum (rivet wheat). RNAcentral describes it as "5.8S ribosomal RNA". It matches the Rfam family "5.8S ribosomal RNA". From Rfam's summary of the family: 5.8S ribosomal RNA (5.8S rRNA) is a component of the large subunit of the eukaryotic ribosome. It is transcribed by RNA polymerase I as part of the 45S precursor that also contains 18S and 28S rRNA. RNAcentral also lists the same sequence under 2 other names. The record is from RNAcentral. Lineage: Eukaryota; Viridiplantae; Streptophyta; Magnoliopsida; Poales; Poaceae.
CACACGACUCUCGGCAACGGAUAUCUCGGCUCUCGCAUCGAUGAAGAACGUAGCGAAAUGCGAUACCUGGUGUGAAUUGCAGAAUCCCGCGAAUCAUCGAGUCUUUGAACGCAAGUUGCGCCCGAGGCCACUCGGCCGAGGGCACGCCUGCCUGGGCGUCACGC